UUGAACUCGGCAAAAUGACUCCGUAACUUCGGGAGAAGGAGUGCCAGUAAGAUGGCCGCAGAGAAUUGGCCCAAGCAACUGUUUAGCAAAAACACAGGUCUAUGCAAAACCGAAAGGUGAGGUAUAUGGGCUGACGCCUGCCCGGUGCUGGAAGGUUAAGGGGAGAGGUUAGCGCAAGCGAAGCUUUGAACUUAAGCCCCAGUAAACGGCGGCCGUAACUAUAACGGUCCUAAGGUAGCGAAAUUCCUUGUCGGGUAAGUUCCGACCCGCACGAAGGGCGUAAUGAUUUGGGCACUGUCUCAACAAUGCACCCGGUGAAAUUGAAAUACCAGUGAAGAUGCUGGUUACCUGCGCCAGGACGGAAAGACCCCAUGGAGCUUUACUCCAGCUUGAUACUGGGAUUCGGUAUUGCAUGUACAGGAUAGGUGGGAGGCUAGGAAAUGGUAACGCCAGUUGCCAUGGAGCCAAUGUUGGGAUACCACCCUUGCAGUACUGGGUUUCUAACCAGCAGCCGUGAUCCGGCUGGGGGACAAUGUCAGGUGGGGAGUUUGACUGGGGCGGUCGCCUCCGAAAGGGUAUCGGAGGCGCUCAAAGGUUCCCUCAGAAUGGUUGGAAACCAUUCGAAGAGUGCAAAGGCAGAAGGGAGCUUGACUGCGACACCGACGGGUGGAGCAGGUACGAAAGUAGGACUUAGUGAUCCGGUGGUAUAAAGUGGGAUUGCCAUCGCUCAACGGAUAAAAGCUACCCUGGGAUAACAGGCUUAUCACUCCCAAGAGUUCACAUCGACGGAGUGGUUUGGCACCUUGAUGUCGGCUCAUCGCAUCCUGGGGCUGAAGUAGGUCCCAAGGGUUGGGCUGUUCGCCCAUUAAAGCGGUACGCGAGCUGGGUUCAGAACGUCGUGAGACAGUUCGGUCCCUAUCCGGCGUGGGCGUAAGAUAUUUGAGAGGAGCUGUCCUUAGUACGAGAGGACCGGGAUGGACUGGCCGCUGGUGUAUCUGUUGUCUUACCAAAGGCAUAGCAGAGUAGCCAAGCCGGGAAGGGAUAAACGCUGAAGGCAUCUAAGCGUGAAGCCCCCCUCAAGAUGAGAUAUCUCAUAACGUCAAGUUAGUAAGACCCCUUGAAGACGACGAGGUAGAUAGGGCAGAGGUGGAAGUGUGGUAACACAUGGAGCUGACUGUUACUAAUAGGUCGAGGGCAUAACCAA
RNAcentral lists this ribosomal RNA (1204 nucleotides) under metagenome. RNAcentral's name for it is "bacterial LSU rRNA". It matches the Rfam family "Bacterial large subunit ribosomal RNA", at positions 1708 to 2925 of the family's 2925-position model. The record is from RNAcentral.